Molecule: ribosomal RNA, 804 nt
Filed under: uncultured bacterium
Lineage: Bacteria
Description: bacterial SSU rRNA
Rfam family: Bacterial small subunit ribosomal RNA
Source: RNAcentral
UCAGAGGGGGGUAGAAUNCCACGUGUAGCAGUGAAAUGCGUAGAGAUGUGGAGGAAUACCGAUGGCGAAGGCAGCCCCCUGGGAUAGCACUGACGUUCAUGCCCGAAAGCGUGGGUAGCAAACAGGAUUAGAUACCCUGGUAGUCCACGCCCUAAACGAUGUCGAUUAGCUGUUGGGCAACUUGAUUGCUUGGUAGCGAAGCUAACGCGUGAAAUCGACCGCCUGGGGAGUACGGUCGCAAGAUUAAAACUCAAAGGAAUUGACGGGGACCCGCACAAGCGGUGGAUGAUGUGGAUUAAUUCGAUGCAACGCGAAGAACCUUACCUGGUCUUGACAUGUACGGAACCUUCCAGAGACGGAAGGGUGCCUUCGGGAGCCGUAACACAGGUGCUGCAUGGCUGUCGUCAGCUCGUGUCGUGAGAUGUUGGGUUAAGUCCCGCAACGAGCGCAACCCUUGUCAUUAGUUGCCAUCAUUUGGUUGGGCACUCUAAUGAGACUGCCGGUGACAAGCCGGAGGAAGGUGGGGAUGACGUCAAGUCCUCAUGGCCCUUAUGACCAGGGCUUCACACGUCAUACAAUGGUCGGUACAGAGGGUAGCCAAGCCGCGAGGUGGAGCCAAUCCCAAAAAACCGAUCGUAGUCCGGAUUGCACUCUGCAACUCGAGUGCAUGAAGUCGGAAUCGCUAGUAAUCGCAGGUCAGCAUACUGCGGUGAAUACGUUCCCGGGUCUUGUACACACCGCCCGUCACACCAUGGGAGUGGGGGAUACCAGAAGCAGGUAGGCUAACCGCAAGGGGGCCGCUUG